GGGCCGUUAGCUCAAUUGGUAGAGCAACUGACUCUUAAUCAGUAGGUCCGCGGUUCGAUCCCGCGACGGCCCACCA
RNAcentral lists this transfer RNA (76 nucleotides) under Desulforapulum autotrophicum HRM2. RNAcentral describes it as "tRNA-Lys (CTT) (tRNA-Lys-CTT-1-1)". It matches the Rfam family "tRNA". From Rfam's summary of the family: Transfer RNA (tRNA) molecules are approximately 80 nucleotides in length. Their secondary structure includes four short double-helical elements and three loops (D, anti-codon, and T loops). Further hydrogen bonds mediate the characteristic L-shaped molecular structure. tRNAs have two regions of fundamental functional importance: the anti-codon, which is responsible for specific mRNA codon recognition, and the 3' end, to which the tRNAs corresponding amino acid is attached (by aminoacyl-tRNA synthetases). tRNAs cope with the degeneracy of the genetic code in two manners: having more than one tRNA (with a specific anti-codon) for a particular amino acid; and 'wobble' base-pairing, i.e. permitting non-standard base-pairing at the 3rd anti-codon position. The record is from RNAcentral. Lineage: Bacteria; Pseudomonadati; Thermodesulfobacteriota; Desulfobacteria; Desulfobacterales; Desulfobacteraceae.